Molecule: ribosomal RNA, 768 nt
Filed under: Microbacterium sp.
Lineage: Bacteria; Bacillati; Actinomycetota; Actinomycetes; Micrococcales; Microbacteriaceae
Description: bacterial SSU rRNA
Rfam family: Bacterial small subunit ribosomal RNA
Source: RNAcentral
UUGCUCUGUGGGAUCAGUGGCGAACGGGUGAGUAACACGUGAGCAACCUGCCCCUGACUCUGGGAUAAGCGCUGGAAACGGCGUCUAAUACUGGAUAUGUGACGUGACCGCAUGGUCUGCGUCUGGAAAGAAUUUCGGUUGGGGAUGGGCUCGCGGCCUAUCAGCUUGUUGGUGAGGUAAUGGCUCACCAAGGCGUCGACGGGUAGCCGGCCUGAGAGGGUGACCGGCCACACUGGGACUGAGACACGGCCCAGACUCCUACGGGAGGCAGCAGUGGGGAAUAUUGCACAAUGGGCGCAAGCCUGAUGCAGCAACGCCGCGUGAGGGAUGACGGCCUUCGGGUUGUAAACCUCUUUUAGCAGGGAAGAAGCGAAAGUGACGGUACCUGCAGAAAAAGCGCCGGCUAACUACGUGCCAGCAGCCGCGGUAAUACGUAGGGCGCAAGCGUUAUCCGGAAUUAUUGGGCGUAAAGAGCUCGUAGGCGGUUUGUCGCGUCUGCUGUGAAAUCCGGAGGCUCAACCUCCGGCCUGCAGUGGGUACGGGCAGACUAGAGUGCGGUAGGGGAGAUUGGAAUUCCUGGUGUAGCGGUGGAAUGCGCAGAUAUCAGGAGGAACACCGAUGGCGAAGGCAGAUCUCUGGGCCGUAACUGACGCUGAGGAGCGAAAGGGUGGGGAGCAAACAGGCUUAGAUACCCUGGUAGUCCACCCCGUAAACGUUGGGAACUAGUUGUGGGGUCCAUUCCACGGAUUCCGUGACGCAGCUAACGCA